AAACCGCCCCCUAAGUUUUGCAACUAUAUCAGUUUUGGCCUUUAAGGCCAAUUUUUGAUAAAAAAAAAUAAAAAAAACUAACACGUGGCACCUCACUUAGGGUGCCACGUCAGCGUUGACCGAGUCAAAAUUGGCCUUGGGGGUCAUAACUGCCACAAAUGCAAAACUUAUGGGGCGGUUU
This 181-nucleotide microRNA precursor is filed under the name Medicago truncatula (barrel medic). RNAcentral describes it as "MIR2619 microRNA precursor family". It matches the Rfam family "MIR2619 microRNA precursor family". Lineage: Eukaryota; Viridiplantae; Streptophyta; Magnoliopsida; Fabales; Fabaceae. The record is from Rfam by way of RNAcentral.